RNAcentral lists this small nucleolar RNA (109 nucleotides) under Olea europaea subsp. europaea. Its description in RNAcentral is "Plant small nucleolar RNA R71". It matches the Rfam family "Plant small nucleolar RNA R71". Rfam says of the family: R71 is a member of the C/D box family of snoRNAs containing the C (UGAUGA) and D (CUGA) box motifs. Multiple nearly identical copies of this snoRNA have been identified in Arabidopsis, and it is thought to function as a 2'-O-ribose methylation guide for 18S ribosomal RNA. Lineage: Eukaryota; Viridiplantae; Streptophyta; Magnoliopsida; Lamiales; Oleaceae. The record is from Rfam by way of RNAcentral.
AAUCCAUAUUGUAGGCAUUGGCAGAGUAAACCCUUGUAUUGUUCCCAAGCCUCUAUUUUUAUCAUUCUGUGUCCAGUUGUUGGAUAAUAGUAAUCUCAUCUCUUAGCUU